UACGUAGGGGGCAAGCGUUGUCCGGAUUUAUUGGGCGUAAAGAGCGUGUAGGCGGCCAGACAGGUCAGCUGUGAAAACUCGAGGCUCAACCUCGAGAUGUCGGUUGAAACCGUCUGGCUAGAGUCCGGAAGAGGAGAGUGGAAUUCCCGGUGUAGCGGUGAAAUGCGCAGAUAUCGGGAAGAACACCUAUGGCGAAGGCAGCUCUCUGGGACGGUACUGACGCUGAGACGCGAAAGCGUGGGGAGCGAACAGG
Molecule: ribosomal RNA, 253 nt
Filed under: uncultured bacterium
Lineage: Bacteria
Description: partial 16S ribosomal RNA
Rfam family: Bacterial small subunit ribosomal RNA
Source: RNAcentral